This is a transfer RNA of Ovis aries (sheep), 74 nucleotides long. It matches the Rfam family "tRNA". Rfam says of the family: Transfer RNA (tRNA) molecules are approximately 80 nucleotides in length. Their secondary structure includes four short double-helical elements and three loops (D, anti-codon, and T loops). Further hydrogen bonds mediate the characteristic L-shaped molecular structure. tRNAs have two regions of fundamental functional importance: the anti-codon, which is responsible for specific mRNA codon recognition, and the 3' end, to which the tRNAs corresponding amino acid is attached (by aminoacyl-tRNA synthetases). tRNAs cope with the degeneracy of the genetic code in two manners: having more than one tRNA (with a specific anti-codon) for a particular amino acid; and 'wobble' base-pairing, i.e. permitting non-standard base-pairing at the 3rd anti-codon position. Lineage: Eukaryota; Metazoa; Chordata; Mammalia; Artiodactyla; Bovidae. The record is from Rfam.
UCCCUAGUGGUCUAGUGGUUAAGACUCUGUGCUUUCAAUGCAGGAGACUCGGAGUUCAAUCCCUAGCCAGGGAA